Molecule: non-coding RNA, 69 nt
Organism: Rattus norvegicus (Norway rat)
Lineage: Eukaryota; Metazoa; Chordata; Mammalia; Rodentia; Muridae
Source: Rfam
GGGGAUUUAGCUCAGUGGUAGAGCGCUUGCCUAGCAAGUGCAAGACCCUGGGUUCGGUUCCCAGCUCCG